This 373-nucleotide ribosomal RNA is filed under the name uncultured organism. Its description in RNAcentral is "partial 16S ribosomal RNA". It matches the Rfam family "Bacterial small subunit ribosomal RNA", at positions 527 to 896 of the family's 1533-position model. The record is from RNAcentral.
GUAGGUGGCAAGCGUUGUCCGGAAUUAUUGGGCGUAAAGCGCGCGCAGGCGGUCCUUUAAGUCUGAUGUGAAAGCCCACGGCUCAACCGUGGAGGGUCAUUGGAAACUGGGGGACUUGAGUACAGAAGAGGAAAGCGGAAUUCCAAGUGUAGCGGUGAAAUGCGUAGAGAUUUGGAGGAACACCAGUGGCGAAGGCGGCUUUCUGGUCUGUAACUGACGCUGAGGCGCGAAAGCGUGGGGAGCAAACAGUAUUAGAUACCCUGGUAGUCCACGCCGUAAACGAUGAGUGCUAAGUGUUAGGGGGUUUCCCGCCCCCUUAGUGCUGCAGCUAACGCAUUAAGCACUCCGCCUGGGGAGUACGGCCGCAAGGCUG